AUUGAACGCUGGCGGCAUGCCUUACACAUGCAAGUCGAACGGGAACAGGUCUUCGGAUGCUGACGAGUGGCGAACGGGUGAGUAAUACAUCGGAACGUGCCCAGACGUGGGGGAUAACGAGGCGAAAGCUUUGCUAAUACCGCAUACGAUCUAAGGAUGAAAGCAGGGGACCGCAAGGCCUUGCGCGUUUGGAGCGGCCGAUGGGAGAUUAGGUAGUUGGUGGGAUAAAAGCUUACCAAGCCGACGAUCUGUAGCUGGUCUGAGAGGACGACCAGCCACACUGGGACUGAGACACGGCCCAGACUCCUACGGGAGGCAGCAGUGGGGAAUUUUGGACAAUGGGCGAAAGCCUGAUCCAGCAAUGCCGCGUGCAGGAUGAAGGCCUUCGGGUUGUAAACUGCUUUUGUACGGAACGAAAAGGCUCUGGCUAAUACCUGGGGCACAUGACGGUACCGUAAGAAUAAGCACCGGCUAACUACGUG
RNAcentral lists this ribosomal RNA (482 nucleotides) under uncultured bacterium. Its description in RNAcentral is "partial 16S ribosomal RNA". It matches the Rfam family "Bacterial small subunit ribosomal RNA", at positions 30 to 507 of the family's 1533-position model. The record is from RNAcentral.